RNAcentral lists this small RNA (797 nucleotides) under Pan troglodytes (chimpanzee). RNAcentral's name for it is "processed transcript". The record is from RNAcentral. Lineage: Eukaryota; Metazoa; Chordata; Mammalia; Primates; Hominidae.
AUCGGAAGCCCUUCCAGCUCCGUGGCUUCAUGAUUGUCUACAACUUCUCACUGGUGGCACUCUCCCUCUACAUUGUCUAUGAGUUCCUGAUGUCGGGCUGGCUGAGCACCUAUACCUGGCGCUGUGACCCUGUGGACUAUUCCAACAGCCCUGAGGCACUUAGGAUGGUUCGGGUGGCCUGGCUCUUCCUCUUCUCCAAGUUCAUUGAGCUGAUGGACACAGUGAUCUUUAUUCUCCGAAAGAAAGACGGGAGGAAUGGGCUCUUUCCAUGCCAUGAUAAACUCUUCUGUGCAUGUCAUAAUGUACCUGUACUACGGAUUAUCUGCCUUUGGCCCUGUGGCACAACCCUACCUUUGGUGGAAAAAGCACAUGACAGCCAUUCAGCUGAUCCAGUUUGUCCUGGUCUCACUGCACAUCUCCCAGUACUACUUUAUGUCCAGCUGUAACUACCAGUACCCAGUCAUUAUUCACCUCAUCUGGAUGUAUGGCACCAUCUUCUUCGUGCUGUUCUCCAACUUCUGGUAUCACUCUUAUACCAAGGGCAAGCGGCUGCCCCGUGCACUUCAGCAAAAUGGAGCUCCAGGUAUUGCCAAGGUCAAGGCCAACUGAGAAGCAUGGCCUAGAUAGGCGCCCACCUAAGUGCCUCAGGACUGCACCUUAGGGCAGUGUCCUUCAGUGCCCUCUCCACCUACACCUGUGACCAAGGCUUAUGUGGUCAGGACUGAGCAGGGGACUGGCCCUCCCCUCCCCACAGCUGCUCUACAGGGACCACGGCUUUGGUUCCUCACCCACUUCCC